UACGAAGGGGGCUAGCGUUGUUCGGAAUUACUGGGCGUAAAGGGCGCGUAGGCGGUGUGUCAAGUCAGGCGUGAAAGCCCCGGGCUCAACCUGGGAACCGCGCUUGAGACUGGCACGCUCGAGUUCCGGAGAGGAUGGUGGAAUUCCAGGUGUAGCGGUGAAAUGCGUAGAUAUCUGGAGGAACACCGGUGGCGAAGGCGGCAUCCUGGACCGACAUUGACGCUGAGGCGCGAAAGCCAGGGGAGCAAACGGG
RNAcentral lists this ribosomal RNA (253 nucleotides) under uncultured bacterium. RNAcentral describes it as "partial 16S ribosomal RNA". It matches the Rfam family "Bacterial small subunit ribosomal RNA", at positions 524 to 776 of the family's 1533-position model. The record is from RNAcentral.